GGCUGGAUAGUCUAGUGAUUAAGACGCCCCCCCCCCGGAGUUUGGAAGGCCUAGGUUUAAAUCCUAGUCUGGCCA
Non-coding RNA from Rhizopogon salebrosus TDB-379, 75 nucleotides. The record is from the annotation of a GenBank genome assembly. Lineage: Eukaryota; Fungi; Basidiomycota; Agaricomycetes; Boletales; Rhizopogonaceae.